Molecule: non-coding RNA, 4504 nt
Organism: Oryctolagus cuniculus (rabbit)
Lineage: Eukaryota; Metazoa; Chordata; Mammalia; Lagomorpha; Leporidae
Source: RefSeq, a predicted model, not a curated record
UGUGCCCUUACUUGUAAGCCAGGGCCUGGUGCUGCCUGGUGCUGGUUCUGUAGGCCUUGCUCCCUGAGCUUCUGAAGACUAAAGUUGAGCUUGCCACUGACGGAUGGGACCUCGUACCCUGGGAGGGAGGUUAACUUGGAAAGACCUUGUUAACCUCUCAUGACCAAGCACAAGUAAUGUUCUAGGGUGGGGAUUGUGAUGUCAGACUGCUAAGCUUCCGUGGGUUUCCAUCCUCUGUUCCACUCCACGACCACCAGGUGGUGCAAAAGGACUCCCCUUGGCCAGCUGCGGGACUGGAAGCAAGAAGUGUAGUCGGCUCUCUAGGACUCUGAAGGGUGGAUCCUUGAUUAUGUUGGAGGUUUUCCCCUCCAUUUACUUGAUUUUUUUUUUUUCUUCCAGUUUUACUCCUGUGUGACCUAGGUGUCUUCCUCAAGGGGAGACAUCACUGAGGGGGGAGCACAGGAGGGCCAGGGGCAUGCUUGGCACGAUGAGCCUGAGCACCUCGCUGCACUCCUGACUCCCAAGCCGGGGCCUGUGUGUAAGGGGGGGGGUGGCUUGUUCAGUGUUGCGACACCUUGUGCUAUCCUGGUGACCUCGGGCACAGUGAGUUAGUCUUAGGUGAGAAGCUUUUAUUUUCAACUUCAAUAGUAAAUAAGGCCAUCUAUGGAGUACAUGGGAACUCUGCAUAACUCCAGGGUUGUUUUUUUUUUUUUUUUUUUGCAGUUAGACCUACUUACAUGCAAAGUUAAGAAAAUUGGAGCUUAGUUUAAGAGCUACAGUUCUAAAAUAGUGUGGCAAAGGCAAAGUAAACAAAGCAGUAAGGCAGGAAUGUGGUGCCACAAGAUCUUCUGUGCAAGCAGUCUAACCAAUAGAGAAGCAACUACUGCCUCUUCACUCGGUUCCAAGUCCUUGGCUUCUGUCUCUAAGGUAUAGAGAUGCACUAGCAAGUCCUGAGUUCAAGACUAAUGACUGUCGGCCGGCGCCACAGCUCACUAGGCUAAUCCUACGCCUGCGACACAGGCACCCCAGAUUUUAGUCCCGGUCGGGGCACUGGAUUCUGUCCCAGUUGCUCCUCUUCAAAUCCAGCUCUCUGCUGUGGCCUGGGAGGGCAGUGGAGGAUGGCCCAGGUCCUUGGGCCCUGCACCUGCAUGGGAGACCAGGAGGAAACUCCUGGCUUCAGAUCAGCACAGCACACCAGCUAUAUAGCGGCCACUUGGGGGGUGAACCAACAGAAAAAGGAAGACCUUUCUGUAACUCUACCUGUCCAAAAACUGCUGUCUAGACAGUCAUUAGUUACCCUUAACUCACCUGAGCAACGUGAAGCUAUUACUGAAACAUCUGUAGAUGCAAAGCUCUGGCUAAUCUGGCUCAUGGUCCACACAAGUUUCCACUUUGUCCUGCACAACGCUGGUGAUGAAAGGAUUGUCUCCUGUGUUCCUUCUGUCUCCUGGACUGGAGAAAGGUUCUGUAUCUACACGGCUUUGUCCCCUGUGGACACAGUGCUCUGGGUCCUGCUGGCUAAGGCUGCUUGGUGCUCUUCCCUCUGCACCUGGACUUGGCUCAGGAAGGUAGUUUCAGCCACGGGCCUCUGCUGCCACCAGACAUGAGAAUCUAGGCCUCUGUGAUGUCAUUAACGUCUACUUGGUCAACAUGAAAACUUGCCCUUCCCUUCAGAGAAGUAACGGGGUCGAUAGUCUACUAGGGCAAUCCCUGAGAGCUUAUGCUAACUCAGUCGCCUGCUUUCGCAUGGCACCCACUAGAGAAUUGGAUGAUGGCUACAGGAAGCCAAGUAUGUUUGGGUUUGCUGUAUGAACUUAACUGCCCCAGAGUCCCGAGUCACCCGGGACCCUGCUGGUGCUGUGAAGCUCUUUUGCGGGUGAUUCCUAGCUAACUGUACGUUUCAACGAAGCUCGGGCAUGUGCAAGAAUGACCCUGACCAAGGAUGAACGUCGGCCUUAAGGAGCGAGUGCUUCUGGGCCAUUGUGAGGACUGACAGCCGUUGGUGGUCCCUGCGUGUGGAGGGCACCCGUGUGGGGAUGUCGCGUACCUCCAGCGUUCUGCAAGGAUUCCUCAUCUCGAACUGCUUGACUGCAUAAUGUAAUUGAUAUCCACACAGGAAAGAUGUGUAAACCAUGUGCUUUCCCUUUCUUAAACGUACUGGACCAUCAACAUGUGCUCAGCUUUAUGCUAUGGGUACUUGUCUUAAGUAGAAUGGCUUUUUUCUUUGUGCCCAUGAAGGGAGGACCCUGAAGGUGAAGAGUGGCGCAGCAUCGUGUGGAGCCCCCUAGGAUGUCCUGCACUGCACAUCCCUUCUCGUCUUCAGUGGCCCCACUCCAGCCCCAGUCGGGCUCAUCUGUAUUAAAGUCCUUGGGCUAGACCAUUUUGGGGAGCCUCUACAUCCCAGGUAGUAUGAAGACUGUGUCUUGAGCACUGACUACUGAAGUCGCCAUAGUGAUCAAAGAACGUGGUGAGCAUGAGCGUAUCUGGACACUCUGGCUCUAGCAGCAGGCUGGGGUGGUAUCUAGGUUGAGGGGACUUGGGAAAGGCCCCUCAUGUACUGGGCUGGCCAGCUCGGUGACCUGGGUGAUGAGGGCUGAGAGCAGGCUCUUGGCACCAGCAGCGAGUGGCUAACACCUCUGAUGGGUAAACCGUCUAGGGUGAGUACACGAAGCAAUGGAGCCUGUCAGAUGAGGCCUGUACCCUUCUAGGCUCUUGGGAAACUUGCACGUGAGGCAGUGCUCGGGCCAAGGCUGUGACUGGUCCUAGAACAGUAGGUGAUCAAUGUCCCCUACAGGGUCUUGAUGUUCCAAAUGUGCCUAGGAUCUGGUUCAGGAAUGACUGGUCCACAUUUCCAUACCUGAAGCAUAAAGGUUGUGGUUAGUGGCUGAGCAUCUUGUGGGAUGACUUGGUGGCAUUUGCCCCAAGGUAUUGUCAGUGCAUUGUUCAGUGUUUCCGGUCAUGUGUCUUGUCACCUUUAGAAAAUUAGUGGCUUGCAAGGGCUAAGAGCAUUAGCAUGUGGUUCUUGGUAGUUUUCUUGGUUCAUCCAGUACUAGGGGAGGAAGCUGCUGCUCCUUAAGGACUAGGCACAUCUCCUAGUGGGCUUGCUGUAUGCCAAUGUCUACCUCCUGUUCCUAAUAUGACAGAUAACACUAGGAGCCAGAGUUUUAUCUGGACAUCAUGGCCCGCUGUCCCCUACUGAAUAGCUCCCUUCCAUGGGCUUGGUUCCUCAAAUGUCUGAGGCUUGCUGGGGAUGAAACUGAGAACUCCACCCAGUCUCCCCUGUGGCCGUCAGGAGUCUGGUUACUUCCGGUUUGUGUUCUGCACUAGUGUGUAUGACUUUGGUUGCCAGAGACAUCACCUGUGCCCCUGUGCAUUCUGGAAUGUUCUCCAAGUAUUUGGAAGCUGCUUGUUGAGAGCUGGGUCAAGAAUCCCACCCUCAGUGACCCUUGGCCUGGGUGCAUCUUCACCCUGGCAGUGUUGAGCUUUGUAAAAUGUUCAUCUAAGACUUUGUUCAAGAUGUUGGUAGCAUCUCAAUAUUUUGCCACAGGAAAGUGUCCAGACAGUCAUAACUCAUGGAAGGCAGGUGGACAAUGUGACUCCUGGUUGAGGACCAGGAUCAGUGAUCCUUGAAUACCAGAGUGUACCUUGGAAUUUCUCCGUGGACCUUCCAGGGUGGGUGCUGGUGCAUUUUCUCCAUAAUGGGAUAACUUGGAAUGGGCAAGUCUCCCAUGGAAGCUAACUCUAUUUGCCAGAUCUAAGCCCUAGUCCAGAGUCGGGAUUAGUUACUUGUUCUCUGCUCUGAAUCUGAGGAAUUUUGACCAUGGGAUCUCCUAGUUGGUUGUCAUGUCUUCACUAUGUGUAUCUGGACUUCACACUCAGAAACUGAAUCCUGAAUGCCCUUCAUGACCUCAUGUACACGGUAGUCCUAUCCAGAUUAGGACGUUGAAUGGAGUGGAGUGUUUGGAUGCCUACUCGGACUGAAUCUGUGGUUGAUGUAAAUGCUACCUGACCUGUUUUCUUGGAGCCCAAAUUGGUACUUGAGGACUGACACCUAGAGGUUGAAGUUGUGCUAUCUAAAGAUAAUCAGGUUUUAUAGGUAGCUCUAUUGACAUGUUUAAAAUAACACACAACCACUUCAGAUAUACUUAGUGAUAAAUAGUUGAACAUCUCUGACCUUGCUGACUGCAAUACAAAAUAGAAAAUACCUAUAAAUGAAACGCAACAAUGCCUUAAUACCUUCAGAAUUAAUCCUUCCAAGCCUUGAGUGGGAAGUCAUAUUUUGACUUAUCUGUAACAACCACAUUCUAAGAAUCCCGUCCUUUCACAAAGUCAUGGGUGGCCUUUAGAUACUACUUUUUCAAUAGUAAUCUAAGGCAUCCAUCAAGCACUUGGCAGAAACCUUGAUGAAGCUAGGGAGAAAAUAGAAGUUUUAAACAAUUCACUGAUAUUGCACAGAAUUCAACUUCUGUGCAAGAUGUUCUCAAUAUACAUUUGCAGACUACUC